This 499-nucleotide ribosomal RNA is filed under the name uncultured bacterium. Its description in RNAcentral is "partial 16S ribosomal RNA". It matches the Rfam family "Bacterial small subunit ribosomal RNA", at positions 28 to 506 of the family's 1533-position model. The record is from RNAcentral.
GACGAACGCUGGCGGCGUGCCUAAUACAUGCAAGUCGUGCGGACCUUGUUGAAAGCUUGCUUUUAAAAGGUUAGCGGCGGACGGGUGAGUAACACGUGGGCAACCUGCCUGUAAGACUGGGAUAACGCCGGGAAACCGGGGCUAAUACCAGAUCGUUUUUUCCUCCGCAUGGAGGAAAAAGGAAAGGCGGCUUCGGCUGCCACUUACAGAUGGGCCCGCGGCGCAUUAGCUAGUUGGCGGGGUAAUGGCCCACCAAGGCAACGAUGCGUAGCCGACCUGAGAGGGUGAUCGGCCACAUUGGGACUGAGACACGGCCCAAACUCCUACGGGAGGCAGCAGUAGGGAAUCUUCCGCAAUGGACGAAAGUCUGACGGAGCAACGCCGCGUGAGUGAAGAAGGCCUUCGGGUCGUAAAACUCUGUUGCCGGGGAAGAACAAGUGCCGUUCGAACAGGGCGGCGCCUGGACGGGACCCGGCCAGAAAGCCACGGCUAACUACGU